AACGAACGCUGGCGGCAGGCUUAACACAUGCAAGUCGAGCGCCCCGCAAGGGGAGCGGCAGACGGGUGAGUAACACGUGGGAAUCUGCCUUUUGGUUCGGGAUAACCGCGGGAAACUGCGGCUAAUACCGAAUGCCCUCGUGAGAGGAAAGAUUUAUCGCCAGAAGAGGAGCCCGCGUCCGAUUAGGUAGUUGGUGGGGGUAAAGGCCUACCAAGCCGACGAUCGGUAGCUGGUCUGAGAGGAUGAUCAGCCACACUGGGACUGAGAUACGGCCCAGACUCCUACGGGAGGCAGCAGUGGGGAAUAUUGGACAAUGGGGGCAACCCUGAUCCAGCAAUGCCGCGUGAGUGAUGAAGGCCUUAGGGUUGCAAAGCUCUUUUGCCAGGGAAGAUGAUGACUGUACCUGGAGAAUAAGCCCCGGCUAACUUCGUGCCAGCAGCCGCGGUAAU
This 449-nucleotide ribosomal RNA is filed under the name uncultured bacterium. RNAcentral describes it as "bacterial SSU rRNA". It matches the Rfam family "Bacterial small subunit ribosomal RNA", at positions 29 to 524 of the family's 1533-position model. The record is from RNAcentral.